This 325-nucleotide long non-coding RNA is filed under the name Ananas comosus (pineapple). Its description in RNAcentral is "long non-coding RNA (ACOM_LNC004362)". The record is from RNAcentral. Lineage: Eukaryota; Viridiplantae; Streptophyta; Magnoliopsida; Poales; Bromeliaceae.
UUCACUAUAUAUGGAUCUUCCACGGUAUUUCUGAUGUGUUGAUAUUUAUAAUACAAUUAAUAUAUGUAAUUCUAAUUUUUUUUUUUUGAGAAAUAGGUAGCACGCUACUGCUUCGUUUAUUUUAAUUUAGAAAUAAACUUAGCUAGAAAUGUGAAUCAACUAGGAUUCGAACUUGGGUCUCAGAUACCAACCAUCAAGUCCUUUGUCACUUACUCUAGAGACGGUAGUUUAUGUAAUUCUAAUUAUUGAUGUGUUGAUAUUUAUGAUACAAUAUAUGUAAUUCUAAUUAUUGAUGUGUAGACGUUUAUGAUUCUAAUUAUUUAUG